GUGGGGAAUAUUGGACAAUGGGCGAAAGCCUGAUCCAGCCAUGCCGCGUGUGUGAAGAAGGUCUUCGGAUUGUAAAGCACUUUAAGUUGGGAGGAAGGGCAGUAAGCUAAUACCUUGCUGUUUUGACGUUACCGACAGAAUAAGCACCGGCUAACUUCGUGCCGGCAGCCGCGGUAAUACGAAGGGUGCAAGCGUUAAUCGGAAUUACUGGGCGUAAAGCGCGCGUAGGUGGUUUUGUAAGUUGGAGGUGAAAUCCCCGGGCUCAACCUGGGAACUGCCUCCAAAACUGCAUGACUAGAGUACGGUAGAGGGUAGUGGAAUUUCCUGUGUAGCGGUGAAAUGCGUAGAUAUAGGAAGGAACACCAGUGGCGAAGGCGACUACCUGGACUGAUACUGACACUGAGGUGCGAAAGCGUGGGGAGCAAACAGGAUUAGAUACCCGUGUAGUCC
RNAcentral lists this ribosomal RNA (450 nucleotides) under uncultured bacterium. Its description in RNAcentral is "partial 16S ribosomal RNA". It matches the Rfam family "Bacterial small subunit ribosomal RNA", at positions 354 to 796 of the family's 1533-position model. The record is from RNAcentral.